This 253-nucleotide ribosomal RNA is filed under the name uncultured bacterium. RNAcentral describes it as "partial 16S ribosomal RNA". It matches the Rfam family "Bacterial small subunit ribosomal RNA", at positions 524 to 776 of the family's 1533-position model. The record is from RNAcentral.
CACGUAGGGGACGAGCGUUGUCCGGAUUCAUUGGGCGUAAAGCGCGCGUAGGCGGCUCGGAAAGUCGGUCGUGAAAUGCCGGGGCUCAACCCCGGGACUGCGUCCGAUACUCCCGAGCUGGAGGCAGGUAGGGGAGAUCGGAAUUCCUGGUGUAGCGGUGAAAUGCGCAGAUAUCGGGAGGAACACCAGUAGCGAAGGCGACACUCUGGGCCGGUACUGACGCUGAGGAGCGAAAGCGUGGGGAGCAAACAGG